RNAcentral lists this ribosomal RNA (492 nucleotides) under uncultured bacterium. RNAcentral describes it as "partial 16S ribosomal RNA". It matches the Rfam family "Bacterial small subunit ribosomal RNA", at positions 29 to 507 of the family's 1533-position model. The record is from RNAcentral.
AGUGAACGCUGGCGGUAGGCCUAACACAUGCAAGUCGAACGGCAGCACAGUAAGAGCUUGCUCUUACGGGUGGCGAGUGGCGGACGGGUGAGGAAUACAUCGGAAUCUACUUUUUCGUGGGGGAUAACGUAGGGAAACUUACGCUAAUACCGCAUACGACCUACGGGUGAAAGCAGGGGAUCUUCGGACCUUGCGCGAUUGAAUGAGCCGAUGUCGGAUUAGCUAGUUGGCGGGGUAAAGGCCCACCAAGGCGACGAUCCGUAGCUGGUCUGAGAGGAUGAUCAGCCACACUGGAACUGAGACACGGUCCAGACUCCUACGGGAGGCAGCAGUGGGGAAUGUUGGACAAUGGGCGCAAGCCUGAUCCAGCCAUACCGCGUGGGUGAAGAAGGCCUUCGGGUUGUAAAGCCCUUUUGUUGGGAAAGAAAAGCAGCAGGUUAAUACCCCGCUGUUCUGACGGUACCCAGAGAAUAAGCACCGGCUAACUUCGUG